This is an RNA transcript of Pipra filicauda (Wire-tailed manakin), 5885 nucleotides long. It is a transcript of the gene named NIM1 serine/threonine protein kinase, with no coding region annotated. The record is from RefSeq and is a predicted model, not a curated record. Lineage: Eukaryota; Metazoa; Chordata; Aves; Passeriformes; Pipridae. The transcript is spliced from 3 exons.
AAGGGACAGGGAGAAAGGCUCUCCUCAAGUGGUAGCUCUGCUAGAGAGCCUUCCCCCUCUUCCCUGUAAUUCCCUUCCCAUAUGACUGAAGCCCAGAAUGCUCCCAUCUGUGAAGUCCUUUGUGCCUCCUUGCUGCACCACCUGAUCCUGAAGGAGGGAAGGUUGAUGGGGGAGUGGAAGGUCUGGAAAAGCCACCUUGCCAUCCUCUCUCAGCCCCCAGUGUCUGUAUAGACACGCAGACCUGUCUAAGCUCCGUAUUCCCUAUGCACUGUUGGAAGAGUUCUUCCCUCUAAACACGCACGCACUGCAGGUCCCCGGAGCCCUGUGUGUCCUGGGAGUUGUACCUUGGAACUACGCCUGUCUGUUGAACUUCAUAGCAGGAUUUUCUGGAUUUCACCUCUGAGGAAAUGAGAUGCUCCAUGGAGUGGAGCCACUGCAAGUUCCUGUUCCACGAGAUACACAGCACUGACCCAAGCAGACACAGCAUCGUGGCAGCUGUAGAGCUUUGCUUGGGGAAGCACGUGUAACUGAGGUGGUUGUAAGAUACAUGUCCAAAAGGUGCUCUUAGAAGGAUUAACUGCUUACAGCUGCGAAUACCACACAACUUUUUCAUGGCCAGUUGUAGCCUCCAGUGUUAUUCCAAAGCCCUGGAAGUAGGGCGUGUUUGCUUCUUUUCCUGAUUUUUACUGUGAGGUGGGAAAUAAAUUUCAACCUUUGAAAUUCUUGGCUAACACUAGAAAAAUCUCCAGCAUGGCUCUUCCUUGUGUUUGGAAAGAAAGUAGUCCUUCAUGCAUAGACAGCUCUCUUUUGGGACACUUGGCAAACAUUAUUUAGCUCAGCCUCUAAGUCUUCCUGUAAAGUACAUAAAUGGCUUUUAUUUUCCCCUUUUUAAUUUUCUGUAUUUUUUAUGGUUACACAGACUAAAUAAUUCUGCAAGCAGGCAGUAAUGGAACUGGAAACACUGUCCUGCUUUCUGACUUUCUCUCCUGAGGCAUAAAACCAAAGACUCUUCCCAAAGACUCUUCUUAUUGCAAGGAAAACAAGUUAGGAAAAAAGAUAACUCCAAAAUAGAAAUCUUGCUUGAAAUAUGAGACUAUGCCUAAUGUGGGAAGUAUAGGGAUAAUACUGAGUUUGUUAUGCUUAUAAAAUAAAUACAAAUUUGCACACUCAGAACCACGAAAAAUUACUUGGAAAACACUAAUAUUUUCUCAGAAAUUAUACAUUUCCAACAGCUUCCAAGGAUUUUCAUUGCUUUAAGCAUUCAUUCAUACGUUGAGCCUCUCUUCUGGUUGUGAAUUGGUAUUUUAAGAUGCAGAGAGGGUUAGAGAUUAUACCACUCUCGAUAUCUGCAAUGAAAUAAUUGUAAGUAUGUCUGUGCUAGUGAUAAAUCUUCUUAGUGCUGCAUGGAGACAGAUCUGCUCGUAGAAGAUUAUUGGGAUACAUUUUCUGCUGGUUGUCAUGACAAUCACAAAUCCAUGCAGCUGCACAGCAGUGUAUUAAUCUGUGCGUGCAGUUUAAUCCCGUUUCCAAAUUAGAUCAUCAAUACUGAACAGAUAGAUAACAGCUGGUUUAAAUGCUGUCUGUUCACUUCUCUGAAAAUAGCACCCGGAGUCCAGCCAGUACGCCUCCAGUUUUCUAGGAAGGACAUGGUGUUAAGCCAUGGAGCAAUUUGCUGCUGUAAUAGCAGUGUACAACUUGGCUCAGUGUCCCACGUCCCGUAUUCUUCAGGUGUUUAUAAUUAAUGUAAUUUUUCUCAGUCUGAAUUAUGAUGUCAUUUAUGUUUUAGAAAUUAUAUCAGAAGUUUAAGGGCUCGAUAGUCCCUCAUUAAGAGAACCUGGUUAUUACACUGUGUAGCAAUGCGUGCUGAUGCUAUCAUGACCUCUAAAGCUCUUGUUGCAAAUUAAGGAGGUAUUUAAUCUGAAAGGAAGUUAAGAAACAUGAGUAUUCCCUGCAAGGCUGUUAGGGUGUGCUUGGAAACUCAUCUGGCAUUGAACAAUUCAAGACAACUACUCCUGGUGUGUCUUGAACCUUCUUUCAUUAUUUUAUAAUUAGUGUAUUUUAUUAUUUUGCAAUUAUUAUUUCAAUAUUAUUUCCAUUAUUAUUUGCAAUUAUUACUUCCAUAGCUUUUCGUGUAGUUUGCUGAAAUGUACUUGUGAACUUCAGUGUUUGUAAAAGGUUUCAUGAAGUCAAGGUAAUCAGGCUCAGUUCACGUGGCCUCUUCUAGGGGCUGUGUUUGUGUAAAAUGUCAGCCCUGUCCUGCACAGCAGGCCCAUAGAUAAUGCAGUUUUCCUUAGAGCACACUUGAAAGAAUCAGCUUUCCUUAGUCCUGCAGGAGUUGAUUGCACUGGCAGUUGUCUUCUCUGCCCUGCCAGGCCACCAUGAAUUAAUUGUGGGCUGAGAGGGACAGCAUGAAAGUACACUAAUAAUUAUAGAAGGAUAGUCUACCAGCGCUUCUCAGUUUUGGUUUCAUUUUUAUGCAUGACAGAGCAGUGUAAGUUUGGGGUUUUUUUCAUUGGUUACGGAUUCCAUAGAAUCCUCAUUUGGUUUUGCAGAACUCAAGUUGAAGAGUUUCUUUCAAUAAAUAAUAAAUAAUAAAUAAAGUUCCACUUCUCUGGCCAAGCAUGGCAUUAUUGCACUGAAGGAGAGCUGAUCACUUACCAGCUUCAGUAAAUCUAACAUUUAAGAUGAGUAAUCAGUGUUUAAUUUCCAGUGGCACAUUUUCAUUGGCAUUUAAAGGGAAGUCUUUCUUUACUUACUUUCAGCAGUGCACAAGGCUGUUUGAGCUAUCAAGUAGCAUGCCAGAGGUGCAUAGGGAUUUGAGUUUUCCAGGGAUGUUUAGCCAGGGAUGUUAGCUUUUCAGAAAUAAUACUAAUGCAAAGUGUCAGCUUCCACAGCAUAUCAAUGACAAAUUUUUAUUUUAAUUUGAAGUGUAAUCAGCUCCAUUUGGCAAAGAUUUCUCUUGACAGCAGUUCAGUUGCAAUUAAGAUUGACAACUUUUUUCAUAAGUAAUGAAGAUUUGUAAAGAUUUUAUUUCAGUGCCUUCUUGCUUAUUCUUCCUUAGGGUUUUGCUUUGGGGUUUUUUAAUCCCUUGUGCUUUUUUCUGUCCCAAACCCCUUUUGGUUUCUUGAUAUCACUUGAAACAGCUGAUAUCUUGCUAAGUAGAGAAAAAUAAGAUGCAGGUUUCCCUUCAGAAUCAAAGCAUAGGAGCAUCAGUAAGAGCUGGGUUUGGCCUUUUUCCCGGAUGCGGAUUAUAUCAUCCUCUUUGCUGGUCUCUGAUGACCCUGGAUUCAAUGACCGCCUGUAUUAGGGAGGGUUCAAAACCAUACUGAAACUUGAAACCAUGACACCGUUAAAAGCUUAACAAAAACCAAUAUUUAUUACCAAGAGGUGGCCAACAAAACGAACAAACCCAAAAGGGAGGAAGGAGGAGAGAAAUAAGCCCCCAGCACGACCUCCCCAGUUACCCAGCUGUUGCCCAUACAGUUAUCUUACCGACCUAGCAUGCCUAUAAUUACCCCGAGCAGAAGCUGCAUCCCUGGAGAGUCAGUAAGUUCACAAACUGGCAGGCGUCCCCGCCAAUGGCAACAUUGUCCUUGGUGUGAAGUUAGCUCCCCCCAAGAAAGCACUAUCUGCUUUUUAUGCAAUUAAUUGAGUGACCACAACCUCCCAGGUGUGGCCAGCACCGCCCAGCCCAAGGCCCUCAGUCCCACCUCCCGGUUAUGUCAGUGCACCCCUUCUGCUCACGCGUGGCAUUCCCUGCGCCUGCAUAUUGUACUCAGGGGGGUCUUUUCCAAAUGAGUCUGGGGGCAUCCUUCAUCAUCCUCCUAAAUCUCUCCUUCAAGCGACCUUGGAGGACAACUAGCCAAUCACGGAAUACCAAUUAAAACAGUUUGUACAAGAAGCUCUCUUCAAGGGCAACUUUCCGGUUUAUCAGUGCUUGUUUUCCCAUAACUUGGCAGGGAAAGAGCAAAGCUUUCACAGGUGGCAGGGCCAAGCACAGACCAAAAGUAUCAGCAUAAAUUCACGCUGGUACACCGCCUGAGAACAUGUUUGGUAGAAAAAUCAAAGAUUGAAGUUAAGAAAUACCUGGAAACUAGCCCAACACAUGACAUGAAUAUUUAGUCAUUAAGCAAAUUAUAUUGAAUAUAUAGGAAUAGAGAUUGGUGUUGCCAAAAAUUCUGUACUUAGCAGAACAAACUCAUUGUGACUGAGGCUUAAUUCUUGCUAAACAUCACAUUAUUUGGGUGUCUCACACAGAGCUAUGCCCAUGAAGCCUGAUGUUGAGAAAAUAUUUUUUAACUUUUCUUCACAUGAGGGGGUGAUAGUUUCAUGCAUAAAUUUUGUGUGUAAAUUGCUGCAUGGCUCUGCAUCACAGUCAGUGAACUGUCUUCUGUCUAACCUUUUAGAAAUUUACUUUAAAGGCGCUUAUGGGUUUUUUAAGGCAUGCCUGUAGGAUAGUUGAGCAGUGAUAGUGUUCUUCUGCACAUGGAAAGACUGCAUCUGAAACCCUUCUUCAGGGCUUAGGACAGGGAUUCAAAUACACCACCAAAAUCUGAGUAGGUGUUCCAGUGAUGAGGUUAUUUUGUGGUAGGUCUUUUGACAUGGGUUCUGUUGGGUUUGUUUUGUUUAAAAACAUAUGGAAGUUGUUUUAUUCCGGAUGUGGAAUAACUUCACGUUCUUAAAAGAAACUAAAUUGCCUUUAUCAGCUCCACAUAACCAACAUAUGGGGCCAUACAGGACCUUUACUAAAAAAGAUACUUUUUCGGGACAUCGAAUCUUGGGCUAUUCAUAGGGAAAAGACAACGAUAUCAAUGAAACUGAAAUGGUAUCAAUGACAAUGGUAUCAAGACAAUGGUAUCAAUGAAACUGAAAAGUGGAGCCAACACAUCAGUAACUCACCAUAAGAAUGUAGCUUCCUGUACAGAUGUGUUGUUUCAGAAAUUGUUUCCUUCAGAGAAGAGCCUGUCUUGGCAGUAUCCUUGUUUUCUUCUCGGUUAUUUUUCCUCUGUCCAGUCUGACCUGAGAACUUCUUAAUGCUAAAAGCCUUUAUGUGGCUGGAUGAGUAUACUAAAUGAUUUUGAAUGUGCUGUAUUGCACUGGGCUGCCCACAGUGACAGUGACAUUUAACUGGAAAUUGCUCCACCUGUUGACUUGCAAUAUCUUGGGGUGAAUGGGAGAAGCUGUUUCCAUUGACCUCCACUCCAUGCUUUGCUCUCUUUAGGCAAGUGAGGAACAACCGCUGGCAGCCUGUUGGGAGGGAAAAGCUAGUGAUAACAGCAGUGGGUGCUUUGGUGGUAGUCAGAGCCAGUGUGGGGAGAGGAAUUGCGGCAACCCCAGUUCUCUGGCAGGUUUUCCUUGGAUAUCGCACAUCUGGUGCUGUGGCACUGAGAAAUGCUGCUGCCAUGGAGAGACAGGAGAGUGAAUAUUGUCCAUCAAGGUUGAGUCGGAGACCUUUGAAGGAACCAGAAGAAGCUCUUAAUCAUUGUGUUAGAGGCUGAAAAGCUUAGUGCCAGCAAAGCAGGCAGGUAUAGCUCAAGGUAGUGUUGACUGUUCACACAUGGUACAUCACCAGGCAAGAUUAAAGGCAGUGUCAUGUCUACUCUGAGAUGCUUGAUGGAGAAUUUCUUCAAAUACACCUCUUCAGGAGCUGAUCGUGAGGCUGCUUUCUGAGAGGCUUCAGGCUCUUAAUGGAACUUGUUUGCUAGAUAGAGGGUAUAGGAGAGCAAAUAAGUCAAAUGUCCCCUCUUACCUGGAAGUAAAGCUGUUACUGCAAAUACUGCAAAUGUCUUCAUUUCCAGACCUGAUUUCUGCUAUCACUCUGUAGUGCUAAAACAAUGUAAUGUCAUUUGUAAAUGGCUGUGAAGAGUAAAAGGUUUUGGUUUUGA